CUAGCCGGGGGCUGCCAGGGGCGGUUGGGGCCAAGAAGGGGACUCGACCGCCCCAGGGCGGGGCCGCCCCUAUUCCCAACUGUGCUGUGGGGGUCGUGGGGGGCUCUCCUCUGAUUCUCCUUUCCUCUCCCCCUCUUCGUCGCCUCUCGGUUUUCUUCCUCAACUUUCUCCUUUCUCUCGCUCUCUCUCGCUUCUGCCCACCGCCCCCCCCCCUUCUGUCCCCCCAGCGGACCUGAAGGAACCAGUGACUUUUUCCUUCACCAAGUGGGAGUUAUCCACAUCAAGCAUUUCACAACGACACAUCAAGAAAAGUAGGCAGGUUCAAGUCAACCAUGAAAUGGUCACUUUUUAACCCCGUCCUGUCCUCAUUAGGGAAAUGCUCAAACACAGUCCGUUUUCAAAGAGCUCUCUUAAUGAGGCGAGCUUGCCAAGUGUGCCUCUACCAGCUGCAGCCCCCGCAAACCGAGCGCCCAAAGAAGAAAAGCGCUGGGGGGGGGGGGGGCGGGGAUUUGAGGAGGCCGGGGAGAGGGGGAGCAGUGGAUCUGGGAAGACAGGUAAAGUCGGGGAAAUUUCGAGAACUCCCCCGAGUUAACCCUUGAGGGCACACACCACUGGGAGCAGCCUCCCAGCUCCCCCACCCCCACCCCCCACCCCGAGGCAAAUCCUCUACUCAGCGUUCUGACAACGUUAAUUUCCUUUGUGUGGGUCAUUUCUUCCUUUUGAAAAGCCAAGAUAAAGUUGACAGUCUUUAAAGAUGAAAGGAAUGAGGUGACAGUCGGGGUUAAUCCAUAUAAAUACUCAUUUCUCUCUCAGAAAUUUUUAGGCAAUCUCAUCUUAGAUUAAAAUAAAACCCCCCAAAGCAUCACUUUGUAUUGCACAUUACGCUGCAUCCCUUUUCUCGCCCUCAUAGCACCAGUCUGCGGGGAGGGGGCGGGGAAGCGCUACUGAUAAUACCAGCUUUAACUACUGGAGUUUCCCUUUGAACAAAUAUUCAAUUUAACCGGAGUUAAUUUACCAUAAAAGACAUUCCCCCUGGCACGAAUGCACUCAUGUCCUUGAACACACCUCUUUGAAAGCCUGGACUCUUACAGAAGCCAUUAUUUCGGGGUCUCUUUAAAAAUCCAGAGCCCAUCUCUCUCUCUUUCUCUCCCUCCCUCCCUCCCUUCUUCCCUCCCUCCACCCCACACCACCCCCAGUGAAAUCCUGGCACCCAGAGAGCACUCCUUUCAGCCAGAGAUCCCAGAACCAGCCGCUGUCCCCUGGCAAAAGAGGCCCAGUGCUGAGCCCUGGGCAAGUGUCUGCAGACAUCUCCUCCUCCCGUAUUAGUUUCCCUUACCAACAGAACUCAUUUCCCCUUGCCACCAAAACUAGGUUGCAUCCAAAAGUUUCUCACAAGCUUUAAAGAGAAAAACGAAAAAUUGACAACUGUUACACAGAAGAGCCCACAAAUCCGCAGCAGCACCAGGGGGUGAAGAAGCAGCGGCAGACCCAGCGUUUGCCCAGUAACGAGACGAGAGGAACAGCCUUCUAAGAGUGAAGCCCUCAAGACGUUUCCAAGCUGCCUGGACAAAGGCUUGGAAUGACUACAAUAGUGAACCAUCCUGCCUUGGACCUGAAUCUAGAUCGAUGACCUAAUACAUCUUUUCCAACUCUGACUGCCAUGGUUUUAUGAGCAUCAAGGACUGGGCGUCUGCCAUUGUCAACAAGUAAGGCCUCUCCAGAGCUUGAACAUCCACAGAAACCCAAGUACCCCCCUCCCCGCCGAAAAGCACAGAUCGCCCAGUCUCCCAGGGCUCUGCGUGCUGCCUCUAGCUUGCACGUGUGACACAGAAACUCCUCUUUGGCAGGAUUAAUUCUUAAAUAAAGGAAGUGUGUCCGUUA
Molecule: long non-coding RNA, 1881 nt
Organism: Leopardus geoffroyi (Geoffroy's cat)
Lineage: Eukaryota; Metazoa; Chordata; Mammalia; Carnivora; Felidae
Exons: 2
Source: RefSeq, a predicted model, not a curated record